AUGUCCAACAUUCAUCCAACACAACACACAAAUGAAAAAGAAGACAACGAAAUGGGCAGGACAACACAAUGCUGCAUACUGCGUGUAGUGUUAAUAUCAUCCUUCUUUGUUAACAUCACCAUGUGGAUGGAAGUACAGACCGAUCCAGAGGAGACAAAUCCAAGUGGAUGCCGAGUAUUCUUUCAUACAAUACAAUAUUUUACCCACUAUACCUUGAUACAAGAUGGGACUCCCAAACCAAAUCGAAAGAAAGAAAGUGUUAGAAAACACGAAAAACCCUCACUAUAUGAACCAGGACAUAAGGCUUCUACAGCAUUUUCAUAG
This 324-nucleotide ribosomal RNA is filed under the name Triticum aestivum (bread wheat). Its description in RNAcentral is "partial small subunit ribosomal RNA". The record is from RNAcentral. Lineage: Eukaryota; Viridiplantae; Streptophyta; Magnoliopsida; Poales; Poaceae.